Molecule: ribosomal RNA, 785 nt
Filed under: uncultured bacterium
Lineage: Bacteria
Description: bacterial SSU rRNA
Rfam family: Bacterial small subunit ribosomal RNA
Source: RNAcentral
AGAGUUUGAUCAUGGCUCAGAAUGAACGCUGGCGGCGUGCUUUACACAUGCAAGUCGAGCGAGGCGGGUAGCAAUACCCAGUCGAGCGGCGAACGGGUGAGUAACGCGUGGAUUAUCUGCCCUGAGGUGGGGGAUAACCCGGGGAAACUCGGGCUAAUACCGCAUAUGACCGGGAGGUCAAAGGGGGCCGCAAGGCUUCCGCCAUGGGAGGAGUCCGCGUUCGAUUAGCUAGUUGGCAGGGUAACGGCCUACCAAGGCGACGAUCGAUAGCCGGCCUGAGAGGGUGAUCGGCCACACUGGAACUGAGACACGGUCCAGACUCCUACGGGAGGCAGCAGUGGGGAAUUUUGCGCAAUGGGCGAAAGCCUGACGCAGCAACGCCGCGUGGAGGAUGAAGGUCUUUGGAUUGUAAACUCCUGUCAGCAGGGAAAAAGCAAAUCGGGUUAAUACCCCGGUGAGUUGAUUGUACCUGCAGAGGAAGCCCCGGCUAACUCUGUGCCAGCAGCCGCGGUAAUACAGAGGGGGCAAGCGUUAUUCGGAAUUAUUGGGCGUAAAGGGCGCGUAGGCGGCAUGGCAAGUGGAAGGUGAAAUCCCUCGGCUUAACCGAGGAACUGCCCUCCAAACUCUUUGCUUGAGGCCGGGAGAGGUGAGUGGAAUUCCCAGUGUAGCGGUGAAAUGCGUAGAUAUUGGGAGGAACACCAGUGGCGAAGGCGGCUCACUGGACCGGUUCUGAGCUGAGGCGCGAAAGCGUGGGGAGCAAACGGGAUUAGAUACCCUAGUAGUCC